Molecule: ribosomal RNA, 774 nt
Filed under: uncultured Neocallimastigales
Lineage: Eukaryota; Fungi; Neocallimastigomycota; Neocallimastigomycetes; Neocallimastigales
Description: partial large subunit ribosomal RNA
Rfam family: Eukaryotic large subunit ribosomal RNA
Source: RNAcentral
UACUAGAGUAGCACUCGCAUAUCAAUAAGCGGAGGAAAAGAAACUAACAAGGAUUCCCCUAGUAACGGCGAGUGAAGCGGGAAGAGCUCAAAUUUGAAAUCUUAAAGGGUUUCCCUUUACGAAUUGUAGUUUAAAGAAGUGUUUUCUGUUGAGGUUUUGGUAAAAGUUCUUUGGAAUAGGACAUCAUAGAGGGUGAGAAUCCCGUAUUUGACCUUUACUUUCAACUUUGUGAUACACUUUCAAAGAGUCGGAUUGUUUGGGAAUGCAGUCCAAAAUGGGUGGUAAAUUUCAUCUAAAGCUAAAUAUUGGCGAGAGACCGAUAGCGAACAAGUACCGUGAGGGAAAGAUGAAAAGAACUUUGAAAAGAGAGUUAAACAGUACGUGAAAUUGUCAAAGGGGAAGCGUUUGACACCAGUGUUGUUUUUCUGAAAAUCAAUUAAAGAACUGUUUAUGCUAAGUUGUUUAGACUUUAUCAGCUAACUGUUUAGUUUUGAGCUUUUCUUUAAUGCACUUUUCAGUUAACGAGUCAACAUCAAUUUCUUUUGCUGUAAAAAAGCUUGAGGAAGGUGGCUUGAGAUUCGUCUUAAGUGUUUAUAGCCUCUUGCCUAUGCAGUCGGAGAGAUUGAGGUCUGCAGCGUAGAUCCUUCGGGGCUAAAUGCAUUUGUGCUAAGUUAUAGCAUUUUAUAGACAACUUGUUGACUAUGAUUUGUCUUGUAGCUUACUCGCUUAUGUUAUUUUACCUACGCUUAGGAUGUUGAGUAGCGACAUACGCAC